AUCCCCAGAGGGCUAUCUGUGCGGUAACUGGAUUGCCUGCCAAGUUAUAUAUCAGUUUACAAGAAGGGAAUGAAAGAUUGAAAGUUUCUAAACCACUAUCGAGUUACCAUGGACGAAUAUAAAGCACAGUAGCAUGAAUAAGUGCGAAAUACAAUACAUAAUAUCAUGUAACACCUAUAGCUCCAUUCCAGCUCUGUGCCAUUUGUCCAUUUGUUCAUUGAUUGUAACAACCUUCUGCUUGGAUGGGUCAAGGAAAGACAAAUAUUGAGAAGAAUAUACAUUUUCCUCUAAUAAAUUGUAUGAUAUAAUAAUUAAUUUUUGUAUCCCUGCCAGGCUU
Telopea speciosissima is the source of this 337-nucleotide long non-coding RNA. RefSeq lists it as uncharacterized. The transcript has 2 exons. The record is from RefSeq and is a predicted model, not a curated record. NCBI's taxonomy places the organism in Eukaryota, Viridiplantae, Streptophyta, Magnoliopsida, Proteales, Proteaceae.